GACGAACGCUGGAGGCGUGCUUAACACAUGCAAGUCGAACGAUGAAAUGGAGCUUGCUCCAUGGAUUAGUGGCGAACGGGUGAGUAACACGUGAAUAACCUGCCCUUAAUUUUGGAAUAACCCAGGGAAACCUGGGCUAAUACCGGAUAAGUAAACCUGUGGCAUCACAUGGUUCUGGAAAGUUUUUCGAUUAAGGAUGGAUUCGCGGCCUAUCAGCUUGUUGGUGAGGUAAUGGCUCACCAAGGCGACGACGGGUAGCCGGCCUGAGAGGGUGAGCGGCCACCCUGUGACUGAGACACGGCCCAGACUCCAACGGGAGGCAGCAGUGGGGAAUAUUGCGCGAUGGACGAAAGUCUGACGCAGCGACGCCUCGUGAGGGACGAAGGUCUUCGGAUUGUAAACCUCUGUCAGCAGGGACGAAGCGAAAGUGACGGUACCUGCAGAAGAAGCACCGGCUAACUAUGUGCCAGCCGCCGCAGUAA
Molecule: ribosomal RNA, 482 nt
Filed under: uncultured bacterium
Lineage: Bacteria
Description: partial 16S ribosomal RNA
Rfam family: Bacterial small subunit ribosomal RNA
Source: RNAcentral